Molecule: long non-coding RNA, 302 nt
Filed under: Mytilus galloprovincialis (Mediterranean mussel)
Lineage: Eukaryota; Metazoa; Mollusca; Bivalvia; Mytilida; Mytilidae
Source: RNAcentral
GGACGACUUCAUACGAAAAUCUAUGACAAACGGGACGAUUUCAACUUCCCAAUUAUCAAUUUCCCAUUUCUCAGCAGUAACAUACCAUCUGCCCCUUCGUAUGGUGUUUACAUAUCACAAUUGAUACGUUAUUCACGUGCUUGUUCACACUAUACGGACUUCAUAUACAGGAGUGUGCUACUUACGCAGAAACUUCUCCAACAAAUUUAUGAGGAGGACAGAUUAAAAUUGACACUCCGUAAAUUUUAUGGACACCAUCACGAAUUGGUGGAUCCAUACGAUAUGUGUUUAACCAAACUAGC